GUGAUGCCUUUGCAUGAUGGAAUGGAUAUAUCUGGCUGUUUUUUGAGUAAGUUCCUUAUUAGUACCACUUGGCAGGUGCAAGAUUUUAUCUGGGUCACCUCAGCCAGAGUGGGAGAAAAGGAAGGCUCUCAAGUAUUGCGGGCGGAUAUCCUGAAACCACAUACAGUAAAAGAACAUGUGGUGCAAUGAUUCAACUGCUCCCUUGCCACAAUGGCACACUCUUUCAUUUUAAGGUUCUUUCUCACACUGUGGAUAGUUCCUCCGUUGCUCGUAGCUUCCUGCAGGUUCCGAGAAACUACCAGUUCAUUGGUCCUCGGAGGAUAUAUUACUUCUGCAUCUCAUUUCCAAAGCCCCAGGGCAUUUUUGUUGUUGGAUGUGAAGCUGCAGGCCACGCUGUUCGAGCUUUUAUGCUGCUGGGGAUGAUUGCUGGUGCCGUCUCUUUCUUUGGUCUUUGCUCCUCAUUCUUUAAAUCUAAAGUCAGCUCCAUGUCCCUGAUCAAGACCUCAGCUAACGCCAGUAUCCUUGCAGCACUUUGUGUCAUGAUUGCCAUGGCCAUUUUCACAGGAGCUUCAUCUGCCCCAGGAUUUGUUUACGGCUGGUCUUUCAUCUUCGGAUGGGCUUCUUUUCCUCUGUUUCUGAUAACAGGUGUGGUGACUAACCUAUCACGAAGUCGAUCAUAGGAGUGAUCAUGCAGAAAAGGUGCUGAAGCUUUGUGAGAUGACACAAAUUACAAGCAUUUGCAGACGACUUGGUGUUUAUUUUGGAAGAUCCAUUGGGAACAACAUUGAGACUACUGGAGAAAAUUGAUGAAUUCAGAGAAAUAGCAAGACUGAAGAUAAACCAAGAAAAAACUAAAGUUAUGGAGCUAAACAAAAAAUAAACUCUCAGAGACAUCAGACCUACA
Molecule: long non-coding RNA, 904 nt
Filed under: Pogona vitticeps (central bearded dragon)
Lineage: Eukaryota; Metazoa; Chordata; Lepidosauria; Squamata; Agamidae
Description: lncRNA (ENSPVIG00000006281.1)
Source: RNAcentral